AAGAUGGGAAUUUCUCAAUAACCCUCUUUUGGCCAGAGACUUUCUUUGUAAUGAUGAGAUAUUCAAGAUUAUUCUCAUCUAUUGUCUCAAUAUGAUAGCCAUUCCGGCGCAUAUCUUUAAAACUCAAUAUUCUCUUAGACUUGGAGGAGAACAUUGCAUUCUCUAUGAUAAACAUUGUUCCUCUAGGCAGAGUUAUAGUUGCUCUUCCGGAGCCUUCAAUCAAUUUACUNN
RNAcentral lists this long non-coding RNA (231 nucleotides) under Nicotiana benthamiana. Its description in RNAcentral is "long non-coding RNA (NBEN_LNC031805)". The record is from RNAcentral. Lineage: Eukaryota; Viridiplantae; Streptophyta; Magnoliopsida; Solanales; Solanaceae.